RNAcentral lists this long non-coding RNA (2019 nucleotides) under Equus asinus (donkey). RNAcentral's name for it is "lncRNA (ENSEASG00005025273.1)". Lineage: Eukaryota; Metazoa; Chordata; Mammalia; Perissodactyla; Equidae. The record is from RNAcentral.
CCUACGCUGCUUCAAGUGUUCCAAAGUUAGAACAUCCCAACAUGAGAUGUACUUUGUUUCCAACUUCAACAGAAAUCCUUAACAGAAAUCUGUGUAAGACGCAGAAAGGCGGGAAGGCCCACAUGCUGUGAUAACCAUUAAGCAGACUUCCCUGGAGCCAGUUGUCAUUCUGGGUGGUGAGGUCAGUCACACAGAGGUCAAAACAAAUUCUACGACGUCACAAUGGCUUUAGCUUCUGCGUGUGGGAAUUUCUCUGUCUCUCUCUCUCUUUCAUAUAUGCAAGCAGACCCGGAUGUCCCACAUUUCCUUUCUGGAAAGGGAUUCACGCGGACGUAGAAAGUUUUGCCCACAGGUACGGCAACAGCCUGGAUCAUAAUAAUUCCUCAUUGAUAAAGAUCAACUUGUACAAUCUGCCCUGAACGGUCAGGAAUAUUUAGCAUCUACAAGACUGUUACAAACAACUUUGCCUUUGAAGGGUGAUAGGGAGAAUCCCAAGAUCAAUGAUGUCAUUGUACUCUCUACGUGACAGCUGGGGGCUAACUAAGGGAGGUGACAUGACCAGCCACCUCACAGCAAAUUCUUGGGAAGGAUUGGGAGCUAAAGCUAUGAUAUGUACGUCUAUCAGGGAACUAUCUCCUUUCACUGAUUAAUGGGGCACAAGCAUCGGUGAGACUUAUAAUCUGAUCAGUUUUAACAACACACAAGAAGAAAAUAAUAGCACCAACAGGCUCAGUAAGAGGACAAACCUUUACAAACACCUCUUUGUUGAUUUUCUCAUGCUGCAAUAGUUAUGUGAAUUGCUAAGGGAAUAAUAACAACUAAUAUUAAUUGAUCAUCUACUAUGUGCCCCACGCUGAGCUAGUCACCCUACAUCAUCUCUGAACCUUACGGUAACACUCUUAGGGGGUUUUAUUAUCUCUGUUUUUCCUGAUGAACAGCUAAAGCUGAGACAAUUUCAGACUUACCUGAGGUCCCAUAGUCAGCAAGAAGCAGAGCCGAGACUCAUCCUCAGGGACAUCUGAUGUUGCUGUCCUAUGUGAGAGCAGCAGCUAGGGACUUUGGGUUUGGCGUUCUGAGAGGUACACCUAUGUCAGAAAUGACCAAACUGUAAAGAAGUUGUGGUGUUGUGGAUAACUUGAUAGGAGGGUGAGAUUUCCGUGAACAACAGAAUCAUAUUAUAGUAGUAAGGGAGAUGUUUUGGUAAUAUAAACAAUACAACAAAUGGAGGAGAAAAAUCUCUUCUACCUGACUAUACUACAAACCAUUUAUCAAAAAUCUUGCCUUUAAUAAAUGUUUUAGAAUAAGCUGUCUAUUCAGGAGGCCACCAUACUGUUUUCUGUCUAUGAGGUGGUAAGUAGAGCGGUUGAGACAACAUGCCUGAAACAAGACUGCCUCAGAUCAAACCCUGGUGGUGCCACUUCCUAGCUGUGACCUUGAACUAACUACUUAUGCUUAGUACCUACCCUACAGGGCUGCCAUGAGGGUUAAACCAUUAACCACACGUGAAGUUCUUAGAAAGCACCUGCUCAAUGGAAAGCACUUGGUCAAUAUUUGUCCAUACUGUGUGCAGAAUAGGGUAUGAAUGGUGUGAUGAAAUCGAAAGUGUGGUCCCCACUUUCAAGGAACUUAGAAACUAGCUGGGAAGAGAGAGCAUCUGCUGAUAAUAUGUCGCAGAAACAGGUACAACAUAAAAACGUCUCCUUUCAUCAAGGUAUACAUUGUUGUAUCAUAAUAAAAAUUAAGUAAAUAACAAUUAAGGAAAUAGAGGAAGUGAGCGGUGACCUGGAUUUUGAAGGAGUUGCUGGUUUACCACUACAAAAUUUUUAAUUAAAGACUUUUGUCAAGACUUGUCCAUUCUCAAUAUUGUCAAUCUUGAUUCGUUAUAUAUUUAAUGAUAACCUUCUCUGUGCAAGACACUGGGAUAGCGGUAACGAAGGACUACAGAUUUGAAAGAGCUCUUAUCCUCAAGGAACUUAUGGUCUGCUAUAAGACGUUAUAUAUUAAUAAAAUACAAGGUAG